UGGAGAGAACCCAUCUGACUCGGAGAUUCCAGUGAUUCAGUCAGGAGAAAGUUGGGCCAUGAGUUAAAAAUUUCGCUGUCGAUUAAAUGCGCAGGCGUCAGGCUGAGGACGUCCCCAAGUAUCACGUAUGCGCGCAGCACACUGAAGGCAUUGAAAAUGUCGGAUGUAGGUUAAAAAUGACAAGGAAUUUGCCUACGGGAACCUCGAACACAACACGCCAGUUUUGCUGUCUCUGUCCAGAUAUUUAAGAACAGGAGCAAGGGAUUCAGCCGAUCAUCCUUCCUGCUCAGACUGUCGAGAGGGAUUCACUUGAUCAUCUGACCAAUUGGCACGCCCAUUAGUUUACAUGGGGGGAGCCCAUUCAUCUGCUCAGACGGUGGGAAUGGAUUCACUCAGUCAUCUCAACUGAAGGUACAUCAGCAAGUUCACACUGGGACAAGGCCAUUCACCUGUCCUGUGAGUGAGCAGGGAUUCAGUGGGUCUUCCCACCUGUGGACACACCAGUCAGAUCACAUUGGGCAAAGACUGGUCAUCUGAAGAAUUUGUGGGGAAGCAUUCACUCUGUCAUCUGACCUAAUGGCUCAACAGCGAGUUCACACUCGGGAGCGA
Long non-coding RNA from Hypanus sabinus (Atlantic stingray), 609 nucleotides. RefSeq lists it as uncharacterized. The record is from RefSeq and is a predicted model, not a curated record. Lineage: Eukaryota; Metazoa; Chordata; Chondrichthyes; Myliobatiformes; Dasyatidae. The transcript has 3 exons.